GGCUGAGUGGCAGAGAGGCUAUGCAGCAGUUUGCAAAACUGUACCACGUCGGUUCAAAUCCGGCCUCAGCCU
RNAcentral lists this transfer RNA (72 nucleotides) under Candidatus Thiomargarita nelsonii. It matches the Rfam family "tRNA". From Rfam's summary of the family: Transfer RNA (tRNA) molecules are approximately 80 nucleotides in length. Their secondary structure includes four short double-helical elements and three loops (D, anti-codon, and T loops). The record is from Rfam by way of RNAcentral. Lineage: Bacteria; Pseudomonadati; Pseudomonadota; Gammaproteobacteria; Thiotrichales; Thiotrichaceae.